GGGGAUUUAGCUCAGUGGUAGAGCACUUGCCUAGCAAGCACAAGACCCUGGGUUCGGUCCUCAGCUCCG
Non-coding RNA from Rattus norvegicus (Norway rat), 69 nucleotides. The record is from Rfam. Lineage: Eukaryota; Metazoa; Chordata; Mammalia; Rodentia; Muridae.